This 519-nucleotide RNase P RNA is filed under the name Cephaloticoccus primus. Its description in RNAcentral is "RNase P RNA component class A". It matches the Rfam family "Bacterial RNase P class A". Rfam says of the family: Ribonuclease P (RNase P) is a ubiquitous endoribonuclease, found in archaea, bacteria and eukarya as well as chloroplasts and mitochondria. The record is from RNAcentral. Lineage: Bacteria; Pseudomonadati; Verrucomicrobiota; Opitutia; Opitutales; Opitutaceae.
UUUUGGGGCCUGAUUGUCGCUCCAAGUGUGUAGUUUCUUUGAAAAAACGCCGACGGAGAGGAAAGUCCGGACACCGCAGGGCAGGAUGCCGUGCGAGAGUUGCGCCUGGCGCACUCAAGCACGGGAGGCGCGCGUCAAGGCGCGUCGACGGACAGUGUCACAGAAAACAAACCGCCCGUGCGGCGUGGUUCUCGUGAAUCGCGCGGUGCGGGUAAGGGUGAAAAGGUGGGGUAAGAGCCCACCGCGCCACGCGCGAGCGUUUGGCGGCACGAAAAACCCCAUCCGGUGCAAGGCAAAAUAGGAGACUGGGCGGCCCGCCCCACAGUCUCGGGUAUGCCGCAGCGUGUUGCGCUUCGCGGGCUUGGGGCCUGCGGGCCGCGAGUCCGAGGGAGCGCGCAGGCCAGGGCGAGAGCAGGGCCGCGCUUCUCGUCCUGAGAUAAAUGACAGUCGAAGUGCCGCGCGGUGGCUUAGCCGCCUCGCGGCGCGGAACAGAAUCCGGCUUACCGGCCCCAAAACCAG